CGGUCUUGGCUCACUGUAGCCUCAACCUCCUGGGUUCAACUGAUUCUCCUGCCUCAGCCUCUCAAAUAGGGGGGAAUAUAGGCAUGUGUCGCCAGGUACAACUGAUUUUUUGGAUUUUGUAGAGAUAGCGUUUUGCUGUGUUGCUCAGGCUGGUCUUGAACUCCUGGGCUCAAGUGAUCCUCCUACCUCAGCCUCCCAAAGUGCUGUGAUUAUAGGCGUGAGCCAUCGUGCCCAGCAG
Molecule: long non-coding RNA, 238 nt
Filed under: Homo sapiens (human)
Lineage: Eukaryota; Metazoa; Chordata; Mammalia; Primates; Hominidae
Description: non-protein coding lnc-PRRT1B-2:1
Source: RNAcentral